Etheostoma spectabile (orangethroat darter) is the source of this 139-nucleotide long non-coding RNA. RefSeq lists it as uncharacterized. The record is from RefSeq and is a predicted model, not a curated record. The transcript has 3 exons. NCBI's taxonomy places the organism in Eukaryota, Metazoa, Chordata, Actinopteri, Perciformes, Percidae.
UUUAACAUCAUUUUGGACCAUCAUGGCAAGGGGAAACAUUGAAUUAUGUAACUAGAAAGCCACCAACAAUUUUGAGAAAACCUACUUCAAUGCUGAGCCACAGGGCCAUUACUACAAAAGUGAGGGGGCAUUACACAUU